AUGGACGACGUUGAUUUUAUUUUGUUUAGUGUUUACUUAUCAAUUAUAAUCUUAAUGGUAACACGAAAAAUGUGUUACUCCAACUAUUUCGACUCAAAGGUGAUAGUACUGCAUCGAGGAAAUGAAGGAACUUUGAGGGAUUGCAGUGAUCUUCAACGAAGCAGUCAAAUUUAGAGUGCUCGCGGAGGGAGAGUUUGUCCAUUUGUGUGUCCCUUUUUUAUUGAUCGUAGGAAAUAGGCUAUUAUGGUGUUGGCGGCCGUGAGUAAUUAUUGUAAAUUUGAAACUUUUACUGAAUUGUAUCGGCAGCUAAAGAAAAUUUAGUGAAAAAGCUUAAUUUACUUGAAGCAUGAAAAGCUAUUUUUAGUAUUUAUUCCCACCGUAAUAAGGAAGAACGUCGCGUCGUCUAAAUUUCCAAAAUUCGUCUUCCCUCCGAUAAAAUAUUAAUUUUUGAGAGGAGUUAUGCAUAUUCUUUCUCAAAAUUUUCAGUUUUUUUUUUUUUUUUGAAGGAAUUUUAUUUAAAUAUAACGUAACUACUACAAGUAUUUUCUUGUAUCUAUCUACGUGGCUUAAAACUACAACUGAACAAGUUGCAUUAAUUUUACAUUUUUUUUUUCAGAUAUUGUGGAUUAAAUUGCGAAUGAAGUUCCGUGAAAAAUCGGGAUGAAAAUAUCCACAUGUUUUUCAGUAAAUUAAUAUUUUAUCUAUGAAAAUUUAGCAAAGCCUCUAUGCUCAUACGGCGUUUUUCCUUUACAGCAGAAAGCUGCCAUAAUGCAUGAUACGCAACUUCUGAAAAUCCCAUUACAAUCCAUACGACCCGUAAGAGGGACCAGUAGCGAGGGUCUAAAAUUAUUUUCUCUCCAUUAUUAUCAACACCUCUGACCUAAAAUUACACCAUAAAUUAUAGUUCCGAGAUGAAUUCGCACAACUCCGAUAAAGAUUACAUGAACUUUUUGUGUCUUUCCUUAGUGUGUCCGCGCAGCACUCCCUCCUUUAGAGGACCAAUCCUAAAACAAUAAACCCGACGCUUGCAUCUGAAAUCUGUAAUCCUGCGUCCUUGAAUUUAAAUGAAUUAUUGCUGAAAUAAUGGACUCGUCUUUUGCCAUGCUGAAAUCAUAGCCCCUUCUACAUUAACGCACAAAACCAACUGAAAGGAUUCGAUCUGCCGGCAUUUAUCCACCCACACAAUUUAACUGGGAUCGUCCUCAAUUCAAAGUAGCGAAUAAAAACGUAUUUUGAUUGAUAAAACCACUAUAAAACCCAUACGCAUAUCACUGUAGCUUCCGCGUACACAGGGAUCGCACUAUGUCAAUGGGUGAACUUUCAAUUUUUAUUGCUUCGACUGCAACUGUGGGAUGAUUUACAUACCCCAGAGAAUGCAGUAUAUUCUCCUCAUUAACGUUGUGCAACUGAAGUCCUGAAGUUGUCAUAUCUUUUUCUAUAACAUGAACUCAUGAGAGCAACGCGUGAGGCAUUCCGCCUGAAGCGCGAAGCAGUUCGGGGGGGGGGGGGGACCACGAAGUGGUUGGUGAACGUAGCCCUCUAAUCUAUAAAAAUCGAUCACACAGGAAUGAACAUUCUCCAGCAUCAAUUUUCCUCAUACAUCUAAUCUAUUUUUGCGUAAUUUUACGUAGAUGACAAAUCAGUUUUUCUCAGUAACCCAAGUAGCAGUAAUCGCGAUAAAUAGCGAUUUUAUCGGUUGGUUAUCGCGAUUAUACCGGCGGCAAUAUAUCGAGAUAUUAUCGUAUUAAAAAUCGCGAUAUAUGGCUAUUAAACCGCUACGCAUCGCAAUUUUGGUUCGAUAAAAUCGUGAUCAAUUUUCGCCGAUAAAAUCGCAAUAUGUAGGGAUUUUUCCGUUGAGAAAUGCUACUUGGGAAGUGUGUGUUAAUUUUAUUUUUAGUUGAUUCACUACCGAGGAAUAAACACCGAUGCCUUCUUUCAUUAUGCCUCCGCCUCCUUGAUGCUAAGCAUUAGAAAGCCGACUUCUCCUUAAAAUGUCCUUUUCUAAUUCGAGCAUCAGAGGCUUUUCGUUUAUCAAUUCUCUUAAUGCACUAAACAUCGUGAGUGACUAUUUACUGAGGAUCAUUCCUCGUAGAUUUCAAAAUAAAAAAUAGGGAAUUUAAAGUGAGUUACGGCAACAUUUCUGUACGCUCGUAAAAAUUUACGCAUCGUACUGCGGUUUCGUUCGCAAUUCAUUCACACAUCCACUGCACUCCUCCCAUUGUCAUUCUAAACGUUUCUUAUUCAUCGGCAAUGAAGCUUCUUGUCCAUCUGUUUGAAGUGAUUUGAAGGGUGAACUUCCUAACGGCGUCAUGAGAUUUAGUUGUCGGCAACACUGUUUUUCUUCCAUUUAAAUAAGUGAAAACAAUCGAUUCUAGUGGAGUAAGCUUACCUAACCAAGAAUCGAUUAGAAAUUCGAAUUAGGUGGCGCUGAGAUCACGUUUUAGGCCACAUCUACCACCGUGGAUUUUCAAUUUUUGAAAAUUGAACCAAAAUUUUGAGUUUUUCAUAAAAUAAUACCUUUGAAUGAUACGAUUUACUGCAAUCGAUUGAAUAGGCGCUGCGAUGCCACCUUUUUUCAACACGUAGUUCCUUUUAACUUGUCUCGACAUCUUCUUUGAUGCAUUAAAGCAAAAAUAACUGAAUAUGAAUCCAUUUGAUUCAAUAAGUUUCCGUCGAUUCUCUACUUGCAAGACGCUAUGAUUUUG
This 2705-nucleotide long non-coding RNA is filed under the name Bemisia tabaci. RNAcentral's name for it is "lncRNA ENSSSA1UGG009980". The record is from RNAcentral. Lineage: Eukaryota; Metazoa; Arthropoda; Insecta; Hemiptera; Aleyrodidae.